GAAUUGGGAUUGGUGUUUGGAGUCGGCUUGCUAGCCAGGUUGUUGCAUAUAUAUAUGCAGUGUUGGGUGAGCUUUGUACAUCAGAAAAAACGAGAAAAACAAUAAAGAGAUUAUUACGAGGCACGACACGUGCCUCUGACCAUCUUCGUGUUGCUGCAUUCGCGUGCGUAUGUUCUGGUCCCGGUGUUUGCCUCAGCGCCGGUGAGAUAUCGAGUGCUGCAGCUAGUUCGUAUACGUUGAGCCGAGUUGCAUGUGCACGAUUAGUCAAGCUGCAGGGUGAUCGUGUGUUCGAUAGCGAAAAAACCAACAGAAUCGCAGAUCGGGUCGCAGUUGUGAGAUGCAUGAGAAGAAUCGCAGAUGGAUCCCACUCUCAGCUAUGGUGCAGUUUGACCCUGAGGCACGCCAAGGGAUCCUAUGUCCGAGUCUGCCAUCGAUCCAACCACAUCAAUAUUAGACAAACUACAUCAAUCCCGGAUCCAACCUCUAAUCUCCAUCGCAGCAAAGUACCCCUACAUAAUCAAUCGAAGCCCCAGGUAGGUAACCUAGUGUCAUGACUGAUAGUACUUGGGGAUGGUGGGGGUGAACAAGGGGCAUCCGUUGAUGAGACACCAGCCCGAAGCCAUCUCCCUAGGUAGCCGACGAGAAUGUUGGGAGCUUCUUCCACGAUGUUAAAUGUCCCUGUACUAAGGGGGCCUAUGCUCCAUAGGUCAGUGACUCCACCAACAUCAUCAAGGCCGACACCCUGUCUUUGAACAUGAAACCACUGUUGUCAACAGUGAGUGCAACGAACGGUUCCAAUUGGAGUAUUAUGAGUGGAAUUAUCGAGACUGGGUGAGCCCAGGAACUGCCCGAGAUCUCCAAAGUUUAGUGCAAUCUCAUUCUCCAACGAUUGUGUUCCUUUAUAGGAAGAGGCAAGCCAAAAAUGAAAUGUACAUGUACCGGUCUCGGUUAGGUCUAAGUGGUUUCGAGGCAGUCGGUAGUGUUGGUCGCACUGCUGGCCUACUAUUCGGACGAGUCUCUGCAUCUUGAUGUAAAGGUUAUGACUCAAAGGUAUAUUCUGAGCCUUUACGAAGACUCACUUGUGUCUAGGGUGAACCCAGAACGGAGAAAUGUCACCUCAUGUGGUCUCUCCUUUGUGAUCUUCACCAACAGGCAAUAUAUUUCAGCAACACAUAUAUCCUUAGAAAGUUGACAUGUCAAUUACGUACGGGAAACAUAUCGAUUUGUAGCACAUAUGAAUGUUAUCUUAAUUGAUGGUGAAUGCAUCUCCAUAUGCUCGUCCGCAUGGAGGGGUCUGAAGGCGGUGGCGCGGUUGCUGGCCUGCUCAGGACUCGGGAGCGCAGGUGGCCGACAGGGAUGGCACGGCUCGUGGUGCAUGUGUGGG
Molecule: long non-coding RNA, 1384 nt
Filed under: Hordeum vulgare
Lineage: Eukaryota; Viridiplantae; Streptophyta; Magnoliopsida; Poales; Poaceae
Description: long non-coding RNA (HVUL_LNC017281)
Source: RNAcentral